GACGAACGCUGGCGGCGUGCCUAAUACAUGCAAGUCGAGCGCUGAAGGCUGGUUCUUGUACCAACUGGAUGAGCAGCGCACGGGUGAGUAACGCGUGGGGCAUCUGCUUUUGAGCGGGGGACAACAUUUGGAAACGAAUGCUAAUACCGCAUAAAAACUUGAAACACAAGUUUUAAGGUUGAAAGAUGCAAUUGCAUCACUCAAAGAUGAUUCCGCGGUGUGUUAGUUAGUUGGUGAGGUAAAGGCUCACCAAGGCGAGGAUACAUAGCCGACCUGACAGGGUGGGUAGCCACAUUGGGACGGGGACACGGCCCAAACGCCUAAGGGAAGCAGCAGGAGGGAAACGUCGGCAAUGGGUGGAAAUCUGACCGAGCAACGCCGCGUGAGGGAAGAAGGUUUUCGGGUCGGAAAACACGGUUGGUAGGGAAGAACGUGGGUUAGAGUGGGACGCUGAUCGAGUGACGGUAACUACCCAGAAAGGAACGGCUAACUACGUG
This 497-nucleotide ribosomal RNA is filed under the name uncultured bacterium. Its description in RNAcentral is "partial 16S ribosomal RNA". It matches the Rfam family "Bacterial small subunit ribosomal RNA", at positions 28 to 507 of the family's 1533-position model. The record is from RNAcentral.